GACGAACGCUGGCGGCGUGCUUAACACAUGCAAGUCGAACGGUAAGGCCCUUCGGGGUACACGAGUGGCGAACGGGUGAGUAACACGUGGGUGAUCUGCCCUGCACUUCGGGAUAAGCCUGGGAAACUGGGUCUAAUACCGGAUAGGACCACUGCCUGCAUGGGGGGUGGUGGAAAGCUUUUGUGGUGUGGGAUGGGCUCGCGGCCUAUCAGCUUGUUGGUGGGGUGAUGGCCUACCAAGGCGACGACGGGUAGCCGGCCUGAGAGGGUGACCGGCCACACUGGGACUGAGAUACGGCACAGACUCCUACGGGAGGCAGCAGUGGGGAAUAUUGCACAAUGGGCGCAAGCCUGAUGCAGCGACGCCGCGUGAGGGAUGACGGCCUUCGGGUUGUAAACCUCUUUCAGCACCGACGAAGCGUAAGUGACGGUAGGUGCAGAAGAAGGACCGGCCAACUACGUGCCAGCAGCCGCAGUAA
RNAcentral lists this ribosomal RNA (478 nucleotides) under uncultured bacterium. RNAcentral's name for it is "partial 16S ribosomal RNA". It matches the Rfam family "Bacterial small subunit ribosomal RNA", at positions 28 to 523 of the family's 1533-position model. The record is from RNAcentral.